GAGCAUUCAGUGGCUGGAUCUAACUGCCC
Molecule: non-coding RNA, 29 nt
Filed under: Mus musculus (house mouse)
Lineage: Eukaryota; Metazoa; Chordata; Mammalia; Rodentia; Muridae
Source: RNAcentral